CCUACGGGAGGCAGCAGUGGGGAAUUUUGGACAAUGGGCGCAAGCCUGAUCCAGCAAUGCCGCGUGCAGGAUGAAGGCCUUCGGGUUGUAAACUGCUUUUGUACGGAACGAAACGGUCUGCUCUAAUACAGUGGGCUAAUGACGGUACCGUAAGAAUAAGCACCGGCUAACUACGUGCCAGCAGCCGCGGUAAUACGUAGGGUGCGAGCGUUAAUCGGAAUUACUGGGCGUAAAGCGUGCGCAGGCGGUUAUAUAAGACAGAUGUGAAAUCCCCGGGCUCAACCUGGGACCUGCAUUUGUGACUGUAUAGCUAGAGUGCGGCAGAGGGGGAUGGAAUUCCGCGUGUAGCAGUGAAAUGCGUAGAUAUGCGGAGGAACACCGAUGGCGAAGGCAAUCCCCUGGGCCUGCACUGACGCUCAUGCACGAAAGCGUGGGGAGCAAACAGGAUUAGAUACCCUGGUAGUCCACGCCCUAAACGAUGUCAACUGGUUGUUGGGUCUUCACUGACUCAGUAACGAAGCUAACGCGUGAAGUUGACCGCCUUGGGGAGUAGGCCGCGAAGGUUGAAAACUUCAAAUUGAAUUGACGGCGNGAGAGNGCGAGACGACGACGAGGAGUAG
Molecule: ribosomal RNA, 620 nt
Filed under: uncultured bacterium
Lineage: Bacteria
Description: bacterial SSU rRNA
Rfam family: Bacterial small subunit ribosomal RNA
Source: RNAcentral